Molecule: long non-coding RNA, 665 nt
Filed under: Zonotrichia albicollis (white-throated sparrow)
Lineage: Eukaryota; Metazoa; Chordata; Aves; Passeriformes; Passerellidae
Description: lncRNA (ENSZALG00000010199.1)
Source: RNAcentral
GAAAUAGGAACUUGAUUUGAUAAAUUAUUCCUUGUCUCUAUUCAUAUCUCAAACACAGGAUCUGCUGCCAAUUAUUGAAAAAAAAGUAAUUGAGGUUGGAAGAGAGCUAUGGAACUGGUCAGAUCCAGCUUCAGCCCAAAAUGGGAUCAAACUAAAAGUUAUUAGGAGCUGGUCAUAUCUUUUUCCAGCCCUGCCUUGAAGUUCAGGUUCAGCUGAUGCAGGCUCCCUGUUUCUAGUGACUCCCUGUGCUUUAACCCGCCUACAAAAGCAGAGAGAAGAAAGCUAUGAAAAAAAGUGCAUUCAAUGCAUCAUUCAAGUCUUCAAGUGAAAUUCAUUGGAGCUGCAAUCUCUGCUUUUGUUUGCUCCUCAAAAUGCCCUCUACCAUCUAAACAGACUUGUUUCAGCUCUAGCAAUCCAUGCAGCUCUUCGCCUGACACUCCCUGACUGAAAAAAAAAAUCCAACAAUCAUGAAAUCACACUUUGGAGUAAGUUAGUAUUACUAAUAUCAUAUAUGUACAGCCCAGUAGGACUUAAUGAGAGGGUAUGAAAAAGUGAGAAAAGUUUUUCAUGAUUGCAUAUGAGAAGAGUAUUGUAAAACAUAACACAGACUGCAUACCAGAUGAGGUUAACUAAAUGAAAUUACUUUAAAAAUGAAUGAAGCAUCA